RNAcentral lists this ribosomal RNA (497 nucleotides) under uncultured bacterium. RNAcentral's name for it is "partial 16S ribosomal RNA". It matches the Rfam family "Bacterial small subunit ribosomal RNA", at positions 28 to 507 of the family's 1533-position model. The record is from RNAcentral.
GACGAACGCUGGCGGCGUGCCUAAUACAUGCAAGUUGAGCGAUGAAGCUUGGUGCUUGCACCAAUUUGAAGAGCAGCGAACGGGUGAGUAACGCGUGGGGAAUCUGCCUUUGAGCGGGGGACAACAUUUGGAAACGAAUGCUAAUACCGCAUAACAACUUUAAACAUAAGUUUUAAGUUUGAAAGAUGCAAUUGCAUCACUCAAAGAUGAUCCCGCGUUGUAUUAGCUAGUUGGUGAGGUAAAGGCUCACCAAGGCGAUGAUACGUAGCCGACCUGAGAGGGUGAUCGGCCAAAUUGGGACUGGGACACGGCCCAAACUCCUACGGGAGGCAGCAGUAGGGAAUCUUCGGCAAUGGACGAAAGUCUGACCGAGCAACGCCGCGUGAGUGAAGAAGGUUUUCGGAUCGUAAAACUCUGUUGGUAGAGAAGAACGUUGGUGAGAGUGGAAAGCUCAUCAAGUGACGGUAACUACCCAGAAAGGGACGGCUAACUACGUG